Molecule: ribosomal RNA, 235 nt
Filed under: uncultured bacterium
Lineage: Bacteria
Description: partial 16S ribosomal RNA
Rfam family: Bacterial small subunit ribosomal RNA
Source: RNAcentral
UACGUAGGGUGCAAGCGUUAAUCGGAAUUACUGGGCGUAAAGCGUGCGCAGGCGGUUUUGUAAGUCUGACGUGAAAUCCCCGGGCUCAACCUGGGAAUUGCGUUGGAGACUGCAAGGCUUGAAUCUGGCAGAGGGGGGUAGAAUUCCACGUGUAGCAGUGAAAUGCGUAGAGAUGUGGAGGAACACCGAUGGCGAAGGCAGCCCCCUGGGUCAAGAUUGACGCUCAUGCACGAAA